Long non-coding RNA from Populus trichocarpa (black cottonwood), 1570 nucleotides. RefSeq lists it as uncharacterized. The transcript is spliced from 3 exons. The record is from RefSeq and is a predicted model, not a curated record. Lineage: Eukaryota; Viridiplantae; Streptophyta; Magnoliopsida; Malpighiales; Salicaceae.
UGCCACUAUUUUUGGUGGGUUUUAACGCUGGUCGUGGUGCCGAGGCUUCAGAAUUGUGGUGGCAGUGCUUUUGUUUUCAGGGUGAUUGAGCACGAAAGAUGAGGGGAAGAGAAGGGAUUUUUCUUUUUGAAUGAAGGGUUUUUUUUUUUUCCUAAAAAAUAAUCUUGAGAGGCGUUGAACGCUGUUUUUUUAUGUUCUCAAGCUAUCAUGAGCUAUCGAUCAAAAUUGAUAUCAAUUAAAAACUUAUAUAAUUCUAUAUAAUUAUUUAAAUUUAAAUUCAUACAUUCAGAUUACUUGUAUUUAUUUUGAAAAUUUUAUUAACUUUAUGAUUAAAAUAAAAAUUUAAUAUCUAUUUUUAUUUUUAUAUAUAUAAAGAACCUUUUCUUUUCUAUAAAAAUCUAAUUUGUUAGAAGUUUUAUUCAACCUGAAAAAUAAUUAGAACAAUAACAUAUAGUUUCUAAAAAUAAUUAAUUCUAUGUUUUUAUAGUUUUUUAAAAUAUUUUUUAUUAUAUUAAAAUAAUAUUUUUUUAUUUUUAAAAUUUAUUUUUGAUAAUAGCAUAUUAAAAUAUUAAAAAAAAUUAUUUUCUAAUUUUCUGGCUGCCCAGAGCAGUAAUGCUCGGACAAACUUGCUCAAUGUUUUCAAACACUUGAUUUUUUCUUUUUACCUUCUUUGGAAUGGCUGCAUCUCAAGCAGCUCUCCUCUCACACACAGGUUUUUCCUGGAAAAAUUAUCAGAUCCAGGAUGGGAGGCUCUAGACAGGAGAGGUGCCAAGAAGCAGAGCUUAAAAUGACAAUCCAUUAACGUAAGAAAAGCCAGCCUCCUCUGAUGCUUCACAUGUCAAUCCGUUUAUUCAACUGGACAAGGAACAUCUUUUCUUGAGUUGCCUUCUAACAUGGUACAGGCAAAGGAUUCCGAGUUAUACAAGCCAGUAUUGAUGGAGUCUUACACCUCACCAGGGGCUUCAUAUCCCGCAGUAGUUUUCUGGUUUGAAUUGCUAGUAGUCGCAUUGAAGUUCGAGAGUAGUCUUACACAUCAUCAGGUACAUUUUCUCUGUUUUGAGGUUGCAGUAUUGAUAAUACACCAAUCCAAGGGUAACUGUGAGCUACAGAUUCAAACCUUUCGGGAGUUCAGUGCUCAAACAUCAUAUUCCCAGAAAUGAAGUCAAAAGAUACUACUCACUGCAUUGAUGUUCAGUGUUCCUUCUCUAAAACAGAAUGCGAACUCUGUGUAUGAAGAAAAGAAGAUGCAAUUAAUUUAAAGUUUCUUCAUCCUUGCAAUCUGCGUUCUUUAUUAUCUAGCAUCUAUUCUUUGUUUUGUGCCCAACCCCAAUGCCCCUUUAAGAGUUCAAAAAAAGGAAACCAAACUCUGUCCACCGAGAAAAUAAAAAAAAACUAAUUUAAAUCUUUUAUUCCUUGCAAGCUGAAUACCUCUUUAAUAUUUAGCAUCUCUUGCUUCCUCUGUAUCAAAGCAACCUAAUUUUAAGAUUUUUACUCACAUGUGUUGAUUUGCGAAAGCUGAUUGCCGGAGCUUUAGAAUUAUAGGCAAUACAUCUUGGAAGUUGCAUCUAUC